AUACCCCACUAUGCCUAGUCAUAAACUUUAAUUUACACCUCAAUCGCCAGGGAAUUACGAGCUAAACUUAAAACCCAAAGGACUUGACGGUACCCAAAAUCCAUCUAGAGGAGCCUGUCCCGUAAUCGAUAACCCACGUUAAACCUCACCACUCCUAGCCUAUCAGCCUGUAUACUUCCGUCGCAAGCCUGCCACGUGAGUGAAAAUUAGCAGACCAAAUGUUUACUUACAAUACGUCAGGUCAAAGUGCAGCAAAUGGACUGGAAGAGAUGGGCUACACUUUCUAAUAUAGAACACACGAAAGACUUUAUGAAACCUAGUCAGAAGGCGGAUUUAGCAGUAAAAAGAAACAGAAUACUCUUUUUAACACGGCACUAGGGUGUGUACACACCGCCCGUCACCC
RNAcentral lists this ribosomal RNA (403 nucleotides) under Brachycephalus sulfuratus (Sulferous flea toad). RNAcentral describes it as "partial 12S ribosomal RNA". It matches the Rfam family "Bacterial small subunit ribosomal RNA", at positions 782 to 1402 of the family's 1533-position model. Lineage: Eukaryota; Metazoa; Chordata; Amphibia; Anura; Brachycephalidae. The record is from RNAcentral.